UACAGAGGUCUCAAGCGUUGUUCGGAUUCAUUGGGCGUAAAGGGUGCGUAGGUGGCGCUGUAAGUCAGGUGUGAAAUUUCGGAGCUCAACUCCGAAACUGCAUUUGAUACUGCGGUGCUUGAGGACUGGAGAGGAGAUUGGAAUUCACGGUGUAGCAGUGAAGUGCGUAGAUAUCGUGAGGAAGACCAGUGGCGAAGGCGGAUCUCUGGACAGUUCCUGACACUGAGGCACGAAGGCCAGGGGAGCAAACGGG
Molecule: ribosomal RNA, 253 nt
Filed under: uncultured bacterium
Lineage: Bacteria
Description: partial 16S ribosomal RNA
Rfam family: Bacterial small subunit ribosomal RNA
Source: RNAcentral